This 253-nucleotide ribosomal RNA is filed under the name uncultured bacterium. RNAcentral's name for it is "partial 16S ribosomal RNA". It matches the Rfam family "Bacterial small subunit ribosomal RNA", at positions 524 to 776 of the family's 1533-position model. The record is from RNAcentral.
UACGGAGGGGGUUAGCGUUGUUCGGAAUGACUGGGCGUAAAGCGCGCGUAGGCGGGCUGGAAAGUUGGGGGUGAAAUCCCGGGGCUCAACCCCGGAAUGGCCUUCGAGACUGGUGGUCUUGAGUUCGAGAGAGGUGAGUGGAAUUCCGAGUGUAGAGGUGAAAUUCGUAGAUAUUCGGAGGAACACCAGUGGCGAAGGCGGCUCACUGGCUCGACACUGACGCUGAGGUGCGAAAGCGUGGGGAGCAAACAGG